Molecule: ribosomal RNA, 449 nt
Filed under: uncultured bacterium
Lineage: Bacteria
Description: partial 16S ribosomal RNA
Rfam family: Bacterial small subunit ribosomal RNA
Source: RNAcentral
GUCCAGACUCCUACGGGGGGCAGCAGUGGGGAAUAUUGCACAAUGGGGGAAACCCUGAUGCAGCAACGCCGCGUGAGUGAAGAAGUAUUUCGGUAUGUAAAGCUCUAUCAGCAGGGAAGAAGAAAGACGGUACCUGACUAAGAAGCCCCGGCUAACUACGUGCCAGCAGCCGCGGUAAUACGUAGGGGGCAAGCGUUAUCCGGAUUUACUGGGUGUAAAGGGAGCGUAGACGGCAUAGCAAGUCUGAAGUGAAAGCCCGUGGCUCAACCGCGGAACUGCUUUGGAAACUGCGAGGCUGGAGUGUCGGAGAGGCAGGCGGAAUUCCUAGUGUAGCGGUGAAAUGCGUAGAUAUUAGGAGGAACACCAGUGGCGAAGGCGGCCUGCUGGACGAUGACUGACGCUGAGGCUCGAAAGCGUGGGGAGCAAACAGGAUUAGAUACCCCCGUAUA